UACGGAGGGGGCUAGCGUUGUUCGGAAUUACUGGGCGUAAAGGGCGCGUAGGCGGUCUUGAUAGUCAGGCGUGAAAGCCCCGGGCUUAACCUGGGAACUGCGUUUGAAACUUCAAGACUAGAGAUCGGUAGAGGAAAGUGGAAUUCCCAGUGUAGAGGUGAAAUUCAUAGAUAUUGGGAAGAACACCAGUGGCGAAGGCGGCUUUCUGGGCCGAUUCUGACGCUGAGGCGCGAAAGCGUGGGGAGCAAACAGG
This 253-nucleotide ribosomal RNA is filed under the name uncultured bacterium. RNAcentral's name for it is "partial 16S ribosomal RNA". It matches the Rfam family "Bacterial small subunit ribosomal RNA", at positions 524 to 776 of the family's 1533-position model. The record is from RNAcentral.